This 468-nucleotide ribosomal RNA is filed under the name uncultured bacterium. Its description in RNAcentral is "partial 16S ribosomal RNA". It matches the Rfam family "Bacterial small subunit ribosomal RNA", at positions 28 to 507 of the family's 1533-position model. The record is from RNAcentral.
GACGAACGCUGGCGGCGUGCUUAACACAUGCAAGUCGAACGGAAAGGCCCUGCUUUUGUGGGGUGCUCGAGUGGCGAACGGGUGAGUAACACGUGAGUAACCUGCCCUUGACUUUGGGAUAACUUCAUGACACUGGGGCUAAUACCGGAUAGGAGCUCCUGCUGCAUGGUGGGGGUGGGAAAGUUUCGGCGGUUGGGGAUGGACUGGCGGCUUAUCAGCUUGUUGGUGGGGUAGUGGCUUACCAAGGCUUUGACGGGUAGCCGGGCUGAGAGGGUGACCGGACACAUUGGGACUGGACUGCGACACAGCCUCCUACGGGAGGCAGCAGUGGGGAAUAGUGCACAAUGGGCGGAACGAUGAUGCAGCAAAGCCGCGUGGGGGAUGACGGCAUUCGGGUAGUAAACCGAUUUCGUCUGUGACGAAGCGUGAGUGACGGUAAUGGGUAAAGAAGCACCGGCUAACUACGUG